AUAAAGUUUUAGUAUAAACAAGUAUAUUUAGUUGUCAACUGAAUGGUUAAAACUUU
RNAcentral lists this transfer RNA (56 nucleotides) under Cooperia oncophora. Its description in RNAcentral is "tRNA-Asp". The record is from RNAcentral. Lineage: Eukaryota; Metazoa; Nematoda; Chromadorea; Rhabditida; Trichostrongylidae.